AGUAAUGUCUGGGAAACUGCCUGAUGGAGGGGGAUAACUACUGGAAACGGUAGCUAAUACCGCAUAACGUCGCAAGACCAAAGAGGGGGACCUUCGGGCCUCUUGCCAUCGGAUGUGCCCAGAUGGGAUUAGCUUGUUGGUGGGGUAACGGCUCACCAAGGCGACGAUCCCUAGCUGGUCUGAGAGGAUGACCAGCCACACUGGAACUGAGACACGGUCCAGACUCCUACGGGAGGCAGCAGUGGGGAAUAUUGCACAAUGGGCGCAAGCCUGAUGCAGCCAUGCCGCGUGU
RNAcentral lists this ribosomal RNA (292 nucleotides) under Escherichia coli. RNAcentral describes it as "partial 16S ribosomal RNA". It matches the Rfam family "Bacterial small subunit ribosomal RNA", at positions 109 to 404 of the family's 1533-position model. The record is from RNAcentral. Lineage: Bacteria; Pseudomonadati; Pseudomonadota; Gammaproteobacteria; Enterobacterales; Enterobacteriaceae.